Molecule: ribosomal RNA, 439 nt
Filed under: uncultured bacterium
Lineage: Bacteria
Description: partial 16S ribosomal RNA
Rfam family: Bacterial small subunit ribosomal RNA
Source: RNAcentral
CUACGGGUCGCUGCAGUGGGGAAUAUUGCACAAUGGGGGGAACCCUGAUGCAGCAACGCCGCGUGGAGGAUGACGCAUUUCGGUGUGUAAACCCCUUUUAUAUGUCAAGAAAAUGACGGUAGCAUAUGAAUAAGCACCGGCUAACUCCGUGCCGGCAGCCGCGGUAAUACGGAGGGUGCAAGCGUUACUCGGAAUCACUGGGCGUAAAGGACGCGUAGGCGGGUUGGAAAGUCAGGUGUGAAAUCCUACAGCUUAACUGUAGAACUGCACUUGAAACUUCUAAUCUAGAGUAUGGGAGGGGGAGAUGGAAUUAGUGGUGUAGGGGUAAAAUCCGUAGAUAUCACUAGGAAUACCUAAAGCGAAGGCGAUCUCCUGGAACAUUACUGACGCUAAGGCGUGAAAGCGUGGGGAGCAAACAGGAUUAGAUACCCCCGUAGUC